CACGUAGGCGGAUGUGUCAGUCAGGGGUGAAAUCCCGGAGCUCAACUUCGGAACUGCCUUUGAUACAGCACGUCUUGAGUCCGGAAGAGGUGGGUGGAAUUCCUAGUGUAGAGGUGAAAUUCGUAGAUAUUAGGAAGAACACCGGUGGCGAAGGCGGCCCACUGGUCCGGUACUGACGCUGAGGUGCGAAAGCGUGGGGAGCAAACA
This 207-nucleotide ribosomal RNA is filed under the name uncultured bacterium. RNAcentral's name for it is "partial 16S ribosomal RNA". It matches the Rfam family "Bacterial small subunit ribosomal RNA", at positions 568 to 774 of the family's 1533-position model. The record is from RNAcentral.